This is a long non-coding RNA of Mus musculus (house mouse), 7892 nucleotides long. RefSeq annotates it as predicted gene, 33444. NCBI's taxonomy places the organism in Eukaryota, Metazoa, Chordata, Mammalia, Rodentia, Muridae. The transcript is spliced from 3 exons. The record is from RefSeq and is a predicted model, not a curated record.
AAUAUCUAUCAUUUCUACAACCAAGAGUAACAGUUUUUUUUUUUUUUUUUUUUUAAGAUUUAUUUAUUUAUUAUAUGUAAGUACAACUGUAGCUGUCUUCAGACACUCCAGAAGAGGGCGUCAGAUCUUGUUACAGAUGGUUGUGAGCCACCAUGUGGUUGCUGGGAUUUGAACUCCGGACCUUUGGAAGAGCAGUCGGGUGCUCUUACCCAUUGAGCCAUCUCACCAGCCCAACAGUUUUUUUAAAAAGAAAAAUUGCCAACUUCAGUAAAGAUCUUGAAAAUACAAAACAUAAAAUAAAAUAUCUGAAAUUAAAUGGGUCAAGAGCAGAAGGCUUUCUUAAUAGUCACAAAUCAUGAAUUAUAUUAUAGAAGUUUCUUAGAAACUACCCAGAAGGCAAGGGACUUGUGGCCACAAACCAUUUAAUCAAGUAAGGCACACCCACUCUGCAUGCAAACACUGUCUAUCAAUUGCCCAUUCUACCAAUAAACACUGCUUCUUUCUUUCAAUAACUGAAUCAAGCAGUUGGCUCUCUUGUUUAGAGGACAAACUUCUAGUGUACCUGAGUCCACCUAAGAAACUGGCAAGCCUGCCCUCCCUGAAAACCCAUACUAUUUUAGGAACCAAACAGUUUAAAAUUCCCCAAGAACUCGGAUUAAAGAGACUUCUUGAGUCCCACUAAUGACUGGAAUCUCCCAAAUUCAGCUAAUAAAAACCAAAUGUUCUUCCCCCUGGGACAAAAUGCAUUUGAAAGAAAAAAAAAAUCUCACAAGUUAUUGGUAGUUAUAUUUUUUUUCUGUAAGACCUGAAGCCUAAGGUGUCUCACCCUGCCAAAUCCAAUAGAUACAACUCCUAUUAUGACUACCAUUCUGAUUCCUACUCUUAUAACCAAGCCCCUUCCCUCUCAUACUACCCCACUAAAUCCCCAGUCAGUUUCCCUUCUGUGGCAAGGUAGAAGUAAGCCACCCUCCUUAGUUAUUUGGCUCACUUUCUGACAUUACAUUUGUUUUUGCUAUGCUUGACUUCUGUUUAAUAUAAUUUAUGCUGUCGUGCCUCCUUGCAAUUGAAUUCUACUGAUUCUGGCAAUUAGAAGUCUUUUAUACCUAUAAAUAUCUAGUCAAAACUACUCCCAAAAAGGUGAUGAUGGCACAUGCCUUUAAUCUCAGCACCUGGGAAGCAGGGACAGGCAGAUCUGAGAGUACAGGAUAGCCAAGGCUUCACAGAAAAGCUCAGUCUUGAAAAAUAACAAAAAGCAAACAAAACAAAACAAGAACAACAAAAAACUACCCCCAAGGCCUGGCAGUGGUGGUGCAUGCCUUUAAUCCCAGCACUUGGGAGGCAGAGGCAGGCAGAUUUCUGAGUUUGAGGCCAGCCUGGUCUACAGAGUGAGUUCCAGGACAGCCAGGGCUACACAGAGAAACCCUGUCUCGAAAAAACAAAAACAAAACAAAACAAAACAAAAAAACCUUUUAUAAAGAAAAUGUCUUUUAAAAGUGUUAAUUGCACACAAAACCAAAUAUGUCAUAUGCUUUUUAAUCAACUGUUAAAACCACAGAAACUAACCCCUGGUGACUAAGAUCACUGCACAUGGAUCUUGUGAAAAUGUGACGCAAACCUUCUGGAAGUCUUUUUAAAAAAGGAAUCCUGUCAAUUGAUAGGAAUUCCCAGCACCUGGAGGUGAAGUCAGCAAGAGAAAAGAGUUCCAGGGCCAGACUGGACUAAAGAAGACCCAGAAGCCAUCCAUCCACCCACCCACCCACAUCUUGAAGUUCUUUCCAGUUCUAAUGUGGCCAAAUGUUCCUCAGGCUACCAGGAGCCCUUUACCUUCAGAAGGAAGACUGGCACUCCUUUCAGGGCAGAGGGACAUUCACAGCUCUAUCAUUCAGCGCUCCUCUAGUGGAAACUCUGGCUACUUUUCGUCAUUGAACAGCAGUAACCUCUGUUUUGUAAUACCUCCUUACCACAUUAUCUACUCAUCAAACAGCCCCAUCCAGGAGUUGCUUUUAACAUGGGCAUUAAUCUCUUCAAACAUACCCUGGUGAGUGUAUACAGGUAUCAGAGGUAGCUGAUUCCCCUUAGAGAAGAAAGCCUACGAGUUUAUAACUUCUCUCCUGUGCAUUAAAAAGCAAUGUUAAGACAUGAUGUGAGCAAACAAUUUUACAUUUCAUCCAUGCAAUAGUACUUUAGUGAAAGCAAGACCCUUGGGUAUCUAGUUUGCAUCUUACUGUGUAUUUUCAGAAAAAGAAAAAGAAAAAAAAAAAGGCAAUACUCCCCCUUCAGGAUGCAAGGAAAGACAGGUAGGAGCUGGAGCACAUAGAUUUAAUUUAACACAACCAACUUCACGAACUAUUUUAAGAUAUUCUCUUUUUCUCAUAAACUUAGAGAUCUUAUUCCUUAUAAAUGUAGUACCUGCUUUAAAAUAAUUUGUGAAAAAUCGUUUUCUCGAAAAGAUAGUAGUACAGCCCUUAGGAUAUUCUAUCACAGCUAGUCACAGAUUUUUAUAUUUCAUUUUAGUAACUUGGUAUUUCAUCUUAAUAGUUGCCAACCUCUGAAGAAAUACCAUGCUUACAAAUGAUAAUUGCUGGGAUUCCAGGAGGUCAGAACUUGACUUACUAUUUACUCAAAAUAUAACUCCUAGUGGCUUAUGUUAGAAAGCACCUCUAACACAUGCCCAGCUUUGUCUGGACUUCCUUUUUCCUCACAAAAGUCCUAACUCACCCAUUCAUCAGUUCUCUUCUAGCUCCAGUUACUCAACCUCCCAGAUACAUUCUAUACCUCCACAACGUUGCUCAUUAGCCAUUUUACACUUCUAGGGAAAACAGCACAUUCUUUCAUGGCUCAUAACAGACUGACUCCUCCCCACAUCCCCGUUUUUUGGAGGCAGGGUCCCUCAUCGCCCUGCUGUCCUAGAACCCACUAUGCAGACCAGGCCAGCCUGAGCUCAGAGAUAUACCUGCCUGAGGGCUGGGAUUACAAACAAGUCAUAUCAAACUCAGACUGCAAACUGACUCCUAACACACCUCCUCUCACACAAUUCUUUUUGAAAGCAAUCUUUUGACUCUUAAACACCUUACACACUCAAGGGAGGCCAAGUCUUUUCUGUGCACUCCCACUCCUAACCCUCAACUCUCCCCCAGGGUCAUAAGACUUGAAGAUAACCCUUUCAUACCACAGGAUUAACACAUCUAUCAGAGUUACUGAUUCAGGUAGGGGACAGGUUGCUAUUGCUUAGUAUCUAUGUUGAAGAUGAAAUAGGGUCACUGACCUAUCAAAACUACACCAAUCACACUCCUGCUAAGGGGAACGAGCAACUUUUAAAACCAUUCUUCCCGAUAUUUGCAUAAUUGGUUUAAAAAAUACUGCCAGGAGCCAGGGGGUAGAGUAGCACAUGCCUUGAAUCCUAGCACUUGGGAGGCAGAGGCAGGUCUGUGAGUUCGAGGCCAGCCUGGUCAACACAGUGAGUUCCAGGACAGCCAGGGCUACACAGAGAAACCCUGUCUCAGAAAAUAAAUAAAUAAAUAAAACUGUCAGGAAAGCCAGGUGUUGGGGUCUUAGUUGCUCUUGGGAGGCAAAGGCAGAUCUCUUUUAAGUUGGAAGUCAGGCUUAGUCUACAAAGCAGAACAGCCUGAGAGGGCUGUUACUCAGAGAAACCAUGUCUGGAAACAAGCAAAAUACUGCUAGGAAUUCAGAAUUCUGUAAGAUAGUUUAGAAGUUCAUGGAUAUGGUUGAUGAUUCAACUUCAGUUAAUUAAUACAAGGACUCAUGACAACUUACCACUGGAUUAAGCAACGCCCUCCACGAUAGCUCUAUUGCGCCGUGAAGGGGCCACCUAAAAUCCUAUCUGGAUGGUGGGAUGGGGGUCUCACCAAUCGCACAACGGGACAAUUUUCAAGACAAGACCCCCGAGGAGGUUCCCUGCCAAGGUUUUCCCCAUAAAGGAAGUCCAGAACGUGAUAGGAAGAGGCUGUCCGGUUGUGCUUCCACAACUGCACUGCCUAACUUUCUCAGAGCGUCAGCUUCCUUUUGGGGCUGCAAGACUCUACAGGAAGCAUGUACUCGAGGGGACCCGGGCAGGAACCCGAGAAAGUAUCGCCGGACUUCGAGGGAAAGAUUUCCUCUGCUUCCCACUAGGAGCGGCCUGCACUUUUUUUUUUUUUUUUUUGCGUGAUCCACAUGGUUAAGAACCAGAGACUUGCAGAGGAAGCCCAGCCUCCAGGGCCCUUCAGAACAGCAAAUGCUGAGGAGCCGGGCAGACCUCAGGAGUCCCGCGUGGCUGAGGAGCCCCGGGAGGCUGGAGAGCCAGGCAGAACUAGGGGACACCGCACACCUAAGAAACCAGAUUGACGUCGCAGCCUCUCUGGAGAAAGAGCCACCGCACGGGAAACACUUCAGCCACAGGUUGAGGACCCGCAGUGCACACGCACAAAUGCACGGACGCUAAGAGGAUCAUGCAAGAGGAAGGAACUUGUGCACUUCUGUUGUGCCUUUAUUCCACGGAAUUGUUACCGAUGGAUUCGUUUUUAUGCUGGAAAGAACAAGGAAGGACAAUGUUCCAACUGCUGGACCUGUUAGGGACAUGCUGACAUCUUAUACCAACCAAGUGCUACCCACUGAGAUGCAUUCGCAGCGCUGAUUUAGAAUUCAAUCUUAGGUAUCACAUUGUAUUUCCCAUGACUAUAAUUAAAUGGAGGACAGCUCAUGGAAUGCCUGCAAGAAUGAUAAGUGGUCCUGUUGCUAAAACUUCUUCCCAGAAGGAGAAAGAACAUAUGCCCCUUCUAAGGCUCCAAAGAAAAACUGGGGAACCAGCAAGUCUAUUGUGCUUCAGGGAUGACGAGUCACUUACAGGGUGUGGUUGCUGCUCUGGGCAACAGGCUGUACCUGGAAAGGCUUUAUCCAGCAAGGAUGAGCCCCGCCCCCUAUACUCUAGCCCCUCCCAGAAGCUGUGUACAAUUAAGGCGUGGUUGCAUAUAACAAGUGCUAGGGAACAACUGAAUACUCAAGAUGGGGGCCUUGGUGACCAUCCCCAGGCCCCCUGUGUCAACAACCCCAGCUGGGAUGGGUGAUCCUUGUGCAAAGGGGCACCGGCUGGAGUUUCCCCAUGAUGGCAGUGGCUCUGCUUAGAGGGCAGUCAGUCACAACAGGUCCAACCAAGAAAAAGGAUAUCAGUACAAAAACUACUCCAAACAGAGCGAGGUUAAUGCCAGGAAUUGUUGAUAGAAGAGCUGAGAAGUCCACAGGAAGUAGUAAGUCAGGGUGAAACAGCGGGGUGCUACCAGGACCUGAAGUGCAGAGAGCUUAGCCUUUCUGGGAUGCAGUAAUAAAAUAAAUAAACACAAAUGGAAGGGCUCAGGCACUGGCACUUAACUUGUUUUUUUCUUUUGUUUUUCUUUUUUUGGUUUUUUCGAGACAGGGUUUCUCUGUGUAGCCCUGGCUGUCUUGGAACUCACUUUGUAGACCAGACUGGCCUCGAACUCAGAAACCCGCCUGCCUCUGCUUCCCAAGUGCUGGGAUUAAAGGCGUGUGCCAUCAUGCCCGGCGCACUGGCAACUUCUUACUCACAGCUCUGUAGGCUAGAAACCCAAGACCAAGGGCCUGGUAAGGUUUUAUUCUGAAGUCUUCCCUUGGCUUAUGGGCAGCUCCAUUGCAUUUCGUGACUUCUCUCUGUGUGGACCACCACAGAAAUCACCAAUAAGCUCUCUGCUAUCUCUCGUUUUUACAUUUAAAAAGACAUUUCUUUUACGUUCUGUUUUUUCAUGACAGAAUACCAUGCAGUCCAAGUUGGCCUGGGACUUAAUCUAUUGAGGGUACUCUUGAACUUCUGUUCCUCCAGCUUUCCACCCCCCACCCCCGCCCCCACCGCUAUUGUAGCCUUGGCUGGUCUGGAACUUGUUAGGUAGACCCGGCUGGUCAUGAACUUGCAGUGAUCCUCCUGCCUCUGCUUCCUGAGUGCUGAGGGCGUUUGUUUUUCCUUGCUUAGCUGACUCUUGCUUCGUAAGCACAUGUUCUCAGUCCAUCUGGAUGUUGCUUGGUAUUCAACUGAGUUCAGGGUGCAAGGGUUCCCGGACACUCCCACUUUGAUGUGAGAAGGUCUGCCCAGGCCUGAAAUGUGUUCAGAAAGAACCUGAGAAGUGAUGUGGUCUUUCCAUUUACCUCGUUGUGGAGUAAGAGGAAAUCUACCCCAUGGCUGAUUCCAAAGUGUAGUUGUACCAUUUACUGUGGGAGUUGAAGUUCAAAUACACGCUGGGGUCAGAGGCAGGAGGACUACUGCAAGUUCUGGUCUAUAUAACAAGUUCUAGGGGGCUGGAGAGAUGGAUCAGCGGUUAAGAGCUCUGACUGCGCUCUUUCAGAGGUCCUGAGUUCAAUUCUCAGCAACCACAUGUUUGGCUCACAACCAUCUGUAAUGGGAUCUGAUGCCCUCUUCUGGUGUGUCUGAAGACAGCUACAGUGUACUCGUAUAAAUAAUAUUUUAGCAAGUCCUAGGUCAACCGAGGCUGCAAUAGUGAAGGGGUGGGGCCAGGAGGAUGAGGAGGAGUUCAAGGUCAUCCUCAGAGAUAUAUCAAGUGGUAGGGGUGGGGUGGGCACGGUGAGGACCUCAGUCCGGGUCAGCAAAGCUGCAUCCAGGGAGGGGACCGAGAACUAGAGAGCCUCUGAGCAAAGCUGGUUUUGUGCCAGGCUUGCAAUCUCAGGACUUAGAAAACUGAGAUACGAGGAUUACCAUAAGUGUGGGGCCAGCCUAGGUUGUAUAGUUCCCAGCCAACCCAGAUGACUCAGCAAAACCACGCUUCAAGACAAGCCCCCAACAUAAUUAAAAAAAGAAAACCUACUGAGCUGCUCCAGGCUGUUGUUGCUACGUGGUGGUGGGGAGGGGCAGGAAGGGGGAGGCACGAGGGGUGGGGGUGUGAAGGGAGGGGAGUGGUUUUGUUGGUUUUAGUUAUAAGUCAACCUUUUAUGUGAAUUUUACUAGUUUUAAAUACGGACAGCAAAGAAAAGCGUUUUGAAGUCUGAUGGGGGUCACUGGACUGCAGUCUCUGAGAUAAGCAACGAGGGUAGGCAAGGAGGUGGAAAAGGAGACCCUCCAAGACGGAAUGAGUGGGCUGAGGUCAACAAGGAAAGGGGCCGGCCUGUGGACACUGCUGCCAUCAGAGAGGGACACUGAGAAAAGAUAAUAAGGAUGCAGGCGCUUUGAAAGUCUUGUGCUGGAUAACUUCAUUCUAUUCAUAGCGAACCUUCAGGAGAACAGACUUUCAGCUCGGCUGCCAGGCCAGGCCUGCGCUCUCCCUGUGUAUUCCAGUGCUGUGAACUUGGCUCCUGGGAAGCUGGGUCACACCUGGUUUGUACUGAAUCUCCACCUUGCUUUGAGUCCAGAUCCCAGGCGGGUUUGUUGGAUGGGGAGUCUGGAAAAUCAAGUAAUUCAGGAUGAAGGAUUUAGUGGAUGAAAGAACUGGGCUUGAGUCCUUAGUCCCAAGUCCCUGAUUUUGUACUCUUAGCAUCUGCAACGUGGCCAUAAAACAGUGCCCUCCCCACAGUGUGGUAGAGGUGAAGCAAUCUCAGCACCAGGGAGGCAGAGGCAGGCGGAUCUGUGAGUUCGAGGCCAGCCUAUAGCCUACAGAUAGAGUUCCAGGACAGCUAGAACUACAGUACAGGGAAACUCUGCUUCAAAAAACAAAAACCACUCCUCCAAAUGGGAAAAUGAAUGUUUAGCUCCAUAUUUAGUAACUAGAGUGCCUGAACUUGGGUUUAAUCUGAGCACCCACAUGAUGGAAGGUGAGGAGAGCUGACUUCUGCAAGUUUUCCUCUGAUCUCUGUAUGCACUCUAUGGCAUACACACACCCGUAUACUCACAUAAAUAAAUAAAUAUAAAAAUCUUUAUUUUUGCCGGGCAGUGGUGGCGC